RNAcentral lists this ribosomal RNA (658 nucleotides) under uncultured bacterium. RNAcentral describes it as "bacterial SSU rRNA". It matches the Rfam family "Bacterial small subunit ribosomal RNA", at positions 54 to 745 of the family's 1533-position model. The record is from RNAcentral.
CAUGCGAGUCGAACGAAGGUGCCCCUUCGGGGGUAUCCUUAGUGGCGGACGGGUGAGUAACGCGUGGGAACCUGCCCUAGUGUGGGGAAUAACUACGGGAAACUGUAGCUAAUACCGCAUACGCCCUACGGGGGAAAGGCUUCGGCCGCACCGGGAGGGGCCCGCGUCGGAUUAGCUUGUUGGUGGGGUAAUGGCCUACCAAGGCUGCGAUCCGUAACUGGUCUGAGAGGACGAUCAGUCACACUGGAACUGAGACACGGUCCAGACUCCUACGGGAGGCAGCAGUGGGGAAUUUUGCACAAUAGGGGAAACCCUGAUGCAGCGACGCCGCGUGGGUGAAGAAGGCCUUAGGGUUGUAAAACCCUUUCAGCAGGGAAGAUGAUGACGGUACCUGCAGAAGAAGCCCCGGCAAACUCCGUGCCAGCAGCCGCGGUAAUACGGAGGGGGCUAGCGUUGUUCGGAAUUACUGGGCGUAAAGCGCACGUAGGCGGUUUGGAAAGUUGGGUGUGAAAGCCCGGGGCUCAACCCCGGAACUGCACUCAAAACUUCCAGGCUUGAGGUCUGGAGAGGUGGGCGGAAUUCCGAGUGUAGAGGUGAAAUUCGUAGAUAUUCGGAAGAACACCGGUUGCGAAGGCGGCUCACUGGCCAGAGUCUGACG